AGGUGGCAAGCGUUGUCCGGAAUUAUUGGGCGUAAAGGGAGCGCAGGCGGGAAAUUAAGCGGAUCUUAAAAGUGCGGGGCUCAACCUCGUGAUGGGGUCCGAACUGAUUUUCUUGAGUGCAGGAGAGGAAAGCGGAAUUCCCAGUGUAGCGGUGAAAUGCGUAGAUAUUGGGAAGAACACCAGUGGCGAAGGCGGCUUUCUGGACUGUAACUGACGCUGAGGCUCGAAAGCUAGGGUAGCGAACG
Molecule: ribosomal RNA, 245 nt
Filed under: uncultured bacterium
Lineage: Bacteria
Description: partial 16S ribosomal RNA
Rfam family: Bacterial small subunit ribosomal RNA
Source: RNAcentral